AGGGCGCAGGGCGAAUGCCUUGGCACUGGGAGCCGAUGAAAGACGUGAUAAGCUGCGAUAAGCUUCGGGGAGCUGCAAAUAAGCAUUGAUCCGGAGAUUUCUGAAUGAGGAAACUCACCUGGGUUCAUACUCAGGUACGUUAUACUGAACUUAAAAAUAGGUAUAUCGAGGGAACCGCCUGAACUGAAACAUCUAAGUAGGGCGAGGAAGAGACAUCAAACGAGAUUCCGUAAGUAGUGGCGAGCGAACGCGGAAGAGGGCAAACCGGAAGUAGAAAUACUUCCGGGGUACGGACCGCAUUUAGGACUUAAGUUGUUAACCGAACGGCAUGGGAAGGCCGGUCAGAGAGUGUGAGAACCACGUAGGUGAAAACGACAAGAGCUGAGCGAGUUCCAGAGUACGGCCAGACACGUGAAACCUGGUCGGAAUACGGGGGGACCACCCUCCAACCCUAAAUACUACCCAGUGACCGAUAGCGUAUAGUACUGUGAAGGAAAGGUGAAAAGCACCCCGGGAGGGGAGUGAAAAAGAACCUGAAACCCUGUGCCUACAAGCACCUAGAGCACGUCAAAGUGUGAUAGGGUACUUUUUGUAGAACGGUCCGGCGAGCGAUUGUAUGCAGCAAGGUUAAGGACUUAAGGUCUGGAGCCGAAGCGAAAGCGAGUUUGAAAAGGGCGUUAAGUUGCAUACAAUGGGCCCGAAACCGGGUGACCUACCCAUGGUCAGGUUGAAGUGGAAGUAAAAUUCCAUGGAGGACCGAACCGACCUCCGUUGAAAAGGCGGCGGAUGAACUGUGGGUAGCGGAGAAAUUCCAAUCGAACCCGGAGAUAGCUGGUUCUCCCCGAAAUAGUUUUAGGACUAGCCUCAAGUUAGAUACCUGGAGGUAAAGCACUGAAUAGCCUAGCGGCCGAGAGGUUAGCGAAGCUUAUCAAACUCAGAAUGCCAGAGUAUUGAUGCUUGGGAGUCAGACAGUGUCAGAUAAAUGUCAUUGUCAAAAGGGAAACAGCCCAGAUCUACAGCUAAGGUCCCAAAGUCAGGUUAAGUGGAAAACGAUGUGAAGAUACGUAGACAACCAGGAUGUUGGCUCAGAAGCAGCCACACAUUCAAAGAGUGCGUAAUAGCUCACUGGUCGAGCGUCUUUGCGCGGAGAAUUUAACGGGGCUAAACCUGACACCGAAGCUUAGGCAAUACAGCAAUGUAUUGGGUAGGGGAGCGUUGUAUACGCGGUGAAACAGUAGCGCAAGCGGCUGUGGAGUGUAUAGAAGUGAGAAUGCCGGAAUGAGUAGCGCGAAUGCAGUGAGAAUCUGCAUGGCCGAAAGCCUCAGGUUUCUGGAGGAAGGUUCGUCCGCUCCAGGUUAGUCGGGAGCUAAGGUGAGGCCUAACGGCGUAGCCGAUGCACAGACGGUAGAGAUUCCGUCACCACCAAAAGAGUUAAGCACAGGGACACAUUUGAAGUCUCGGAGCCGGGUGUUGGUUCCGGUAGCGAUCGAGGGAAGUUAGUACCGAAGUCCGGGAUGGAAGAUGGCGAGAAAAGCUGUGUGUAUUUCUGCGGUGCCCGUACCGCAAACCGACACAGGUAGGUAGGAAGAAGAUUCUAAGGCCAACGGGAGAAGGGUUGUUAAGGAACUCGGCAAAUUGACCCCGUAACUUCGGGAGAAGGGGUGCUCCAGAGAUGGAGCCGCAGAGAAUCGGCCCAAGCAACUGUUUACCAAAAACACAGGUUUGUGCUAAAUCGAAAGAUGACGUAUACGAGCUGACGCCUGCCCGGUGCUGGAAGGUUAAGAGGAGAUGUGCAAGCAUUGAAUCGAAGCCCCAGUGAACGGCGGCCGUAACUAUAACGGUCCUAAGGUAGCGAAAUUCCUUGUCAGGUAAGUUCUGACCCGCAUGAAAGGCGUAAUGAUUUGGGCACUGUCUCGACAGCCCGCCCGGCGAAAUUGUAGUACCGGUGAAGAUGCCGGUUACCCGCGACAAGACGGAAAGACCCCAUGGAGCUUUACUGUAGCCUAAUAUUGGGUUUCGAUGUUGCAUGCACAGGAUAGAUGGGACACAGGGAAACAAGUGCUUUGGCAUUUGUGGAGUGGCCGUUGGGAUACCAUCCUUGCGAUAUUGGAAUUCUAACCUGCGCCUUUGAAUCAAGGCGGGGGACAUUGUUAGGUGGGCAGUUUGACUGGGGCGGUCGCCUCCUAAAGAGUAACGGAGGCGUUCAAAGGUUCGCUCAGCUUGAACGGAAAUCAAGCAAAAGAGUGCAAACGCAGAAGCGAGCCUAACUGCGAGACUGACGGGUCGAGCAGUAACGAAAGUUGGAGUUAGUGAUCCGGUGGUAUGUGAGUGGAAAUGCCAUCGCUCAACGGAUAAAAGUUACCCUGGGGAUAACAGGCUGAUCUCCCCCAAGAGUCCACAUCGACGGGGAGGUUUGGCACCUCGAUGUCGGCUCAUCGCAUCCUGGGGCUGUAUUCGGUCCCAAGGGUUUGGCUGUUCGCCAAUUAAAGCGGUACGCGAGCUGGGUUCAGAACGUCGUGAGACAGUUCGGUCCCUAUCUGUCGUGGGCGCAGGAUAUUUGAUGGGAGCUGUUCCUAGUACGAGAGGACCGGAGCGGACGUACCUCUGGCGCACCAGUUGUUCUGCCAAGGGCAUAGCUGGGCAACUAUGUACGGAUCGGAUAAACGCUGAAAGCAUCUAAGCGUGAAGCCGACCCAAAGAUAAGAUAUCCCAUUGU
Molecule: ribosomal RNA, 2716 nt
Filed under: human gut metagenome
Description: bacterial LSU rRNA
Rfam family: Bacterial large subunit ribosomal RNA
Source: RNAcentral